ACUCAAAUGAAUUGACGGGGACCCGCACAAGCGGUGGAGUAUGUGGCUUAAUUCGAUGCAACGCGAAGAACCUUACCUGAGUUUGACAUGCUAGUGAAAAGCGGGGUGAAAGCCCCGUAGUGAAGCAAUUCACAGCUAGAACAGGUGCUGCAUGGCUGUCGUCAGCUCGUGUCGUGAGAUGUUGGGUUAAGUCCCGCAACGAGCGCAACCCUUGUGGUUAGUUGCUACCCGAAAGGGGCACUUUAACCAGACUGCCUAGAUUAACUAGGAGGAAGGUGAGGAUGACGUCAAGUCAGGAUGGCCCUUACACUCAGGGCUGCACACGUACUACAAUGGCUAGCACAAUUAGAUCCGAAAUCGCAAGAUGGGGGAAAUCGCAAAAGCUAGUCUAAGUUCAGAUUGCAGGCUGCAACUCGCCUGCAUGAAGUUGGAAUCGCUAGUAAUGGCACAUCAGCUACGGUGCCGUGAAUACGUUCCCGGGUCUUGUACACACCGCCCGU
This 500-nucleotide ribosomal RNA is filed under the name uncultured bacterium. RNAcentral's name for it is "partial 16S ribosomal RNA". It matches the Rfam family "Bacterial small subunit ribosomal RNA", at positions 899 to 1397 of the family's 1533-position model. The record is from RNAcentral.